UCUGUUUUCAAAUGGAGAAACGUGGAAAGAGAUGUGUCGUUUUGCCCUCAGCACCCUGAAAGACUUUGGGAUGGGGAAGAGAGUUGCAGAGGAGAAAAUCUUAGAGGAGUGUGGACACCUCAUUCAAGUGUUUGAGAGUUAUAAAGGUAUAACAUAAUGGUGUGUUUCUCUAAUAAACAGACAUAAAAUUCUUCACUGAAAUGGUUUAAUCAUUGUUGUAGUCUACUAAUUCAUAUUCCUUUUGUAAGUUAAGUACAUUUUAAUGUCAUGAUGGGUACCAGUUUUCUAACAUGCAGAACACAAGACAGGAGAAGUUGCAUAUGAAUAAGUGAGUUUAUUGUGAACACAAUAAAUGAUGAACAUAGAGUGACGGGUCUGGUCCAGGGAAGGAAUGGGCUCACGGAGCGAUCGGCACACUAUGUGAAGCAGAGCAGGAUGAGAUGAGUUCAAAAGCCGUCGGAAACGGGAGUACUAACAGGUAAAUGGAACGAGCUUACUUGUGGAGAUGAGGUUUGUUGUUUUGGGUGGAUUCACAAUAAAUGAAACACUGACCAACA
This is a long non-coding RNA of Xiphophorus couchianus (Monterrey platyfish), 557 nucleotides long. RefSeq lists it as uncharacterized. The transcript has 2 exons. The record is from RefSeq and is a predicted model, not a curated record. Lineage: Eukaryota; Metazoa; Chordata; Actinopteri; Cyprinodontiformes; Poeciliidae.